Triticum aestivum (bread wheat) is the source of this 1752-nucleotide long non-coding RNA. RefSeq lists it as uncharacterized. The transcript is spliced from 4 exons. Lineage: Eukaryota; Viridiplantae; Streptophyta; Magnoliopsida; Poales; Poaceae. The record is from RefSeq and is a predicted model, not a curated record.
ACUGCGUAGCAAGAUCAAUAAUAAAUGGUUCAAGUCAUGUGUUACAAGUUACAAUGAGCAGGUGGUACUCAAGUCCGUUGAUGAUAAGGAUAUUAUUCGAACAUUUACUGCAAUGAGGUUUUGGAAAGGGCAUUUGCCUCGUGAUUGUCUUUAGUGCGCUGUCGGUAUUCGGCAUGCCAGCGCCUUCAUCGACCUCCACUCGCCAAUCUGUAACGCCUAUGCCCGUGGUGGCGGGUCACACUCUGAUGCAACCGUGCACGCCGCCGCUACCAGACGACACCCCAUUGAGUAAUACACCCCAGUCGAGAUUUUCUAUAUCAUCUCUGCCAAGGCGCAGUCAUCGGAAGAGAUUCAGGUAAGAUUAUCCUUGUUUUCUACAUCAAAUUUUGCAUGUUCAUCUAUCUAAUCUUUGAUACUACAUUUCUUAGCUAAUGUCCUCCUUGCCUGUACCAUGUUCAUAUGAUUAACAAAGGCUUGGCCAUCUUAAUAUAGUAGCCCGUGAGGUGGAUAUAUAUACUACUCCCUCCAUUCCUAAAUAUAAGUCUUUUUACAGAUUCCAAUAUGGACUACUGAAUGAAUCUACACUCUAAAGAAUGUCUAUAUGCAUCCGUAUGUAGUCCAUAUUGAAAUUUCUAAAUGGACUUAUAUUUAGAAACAGAGGGAGUACUUCAGUUUGCAUGAGAGAAUAAUCACUUAUAUGUGUGCCUUGAUAUUAUAAUAGGAUUGCUUGGAUUAUUUCUGUAAUACUUUGUCCAAAAAUGUUGUUCUAAUCCCUAGCUCACUUGAACCUGGGUGAACAGUAAAAUAAUUAAAAAAUCUGAUUUUUUUUUAGUGUGAAACAUUGACAAAUGUUUUCAUAGCGAAUAGAAAUUUUUCACCAGAUGACAUUCGUGGAAAAUAUGUCCAAAAAAUAGUUGCAAAUUUAUCACCAGAUAACAUUGUGGAAAAUAGUUGCGUCCGUACAGUGUGUUCUUCGUCGAAUUUGUGUUUGAUUUUUUAACUAUAUAUUACUUCUUGCUUGCGCGAGGGUGGUGUAGAUUUGUUAUUUUUUGCCCCGAAAAGAAGGUAGCCGGAUUGGUAGUCUAAUUGAGUAGAUGCUGGUGAGGGAGGGUUACUUGAUUUUUAUUGAGUACAUUAUGCUCUGCUUUGUGACGAGGUUUGAAAUUUGAUGGUUCUGAUGUGUAAUAGAGGGGGCAAAAGUGUUAUCCAUUUCAUUGUUUCUGUGCAUGUUUACGUUGACCAUCGGUGGCGGGAGGCGACAUUGCUGGCGGCCGAAGGGGUGCUUGUGGAAGCAGGUGGAAUAGUCGGCAGCUGUGGGGAUUCAUUAUUCUCCGAGGUUGGCGGGGUCGACCCAGGCUCGAUGGGGCUGCGGGAUUGUCAAGCAGGCGGGUGAUUGCUCAACGAUGACUCGAGACGAUCUUUGGUAUUACAACUGGUUUAUACCAAUGGGUUAUUUGCAUCUCAAGUUAAAUUAGUCACUGUUGAUCAACAAUGAGAUGUGGCCAUUGUUUGAUGGAUCAUUGAUGAUACGGAUGUGCAAUGAAACAAUGAUAUACCCACUGUAUUGGACCCGAACACCUUCCUGAAAAUUGUUCUGAACGGGUUAGCACAAGGAAACUAUUGUUAUGACUUGCGAGGUCUGCUGGAGGUGACCGGAUCCGGAUGACUUGAGCAAAGCUGUGAAAAUUCACGUAUACCGUUUACCAAACUCAAUUUGUUUGGUCUAGAUGCAUGACUUUUAGAAUAAAUUUA